CAUAAAAUUCUUUUAUUGAGUAAAUCAAGUGUGUACACUUCAAUGAAUAGACAAUUUCCAUUAACAUACUAAGUAUGUUUAUAAUAUCUAGGAUUCUGUCUUGCCAGAACUCUAAAAACUGGCUGCUGUAAGCAUAAAGCAUUAAUCUUCCAAGUUGAUCAGCAGUUAAGGGUCUCUGUAUCCCACAGCAGAGCACAUCUGGAUGAAGCCCUACCAGAACAAUGGUGGUACUGCACUGUAAUUACAUGAAAGGAUUAUCUACUUCUCAACAUACAACCCCACAGCAGAUGUGCAGUCAUUCACUUUGAAAAUGCUCCUGUAGGACUGCAAGUAUUCCAUGACAGAGCAUGACUUUUUGGGAGAACCUAUUCCUGCCUGCAGGAACCCACCAGCUUUCAGGUGAGUUUUAAGUUGAUCCUUGGAAACUUCACAAAGCCAAAGGAAGGUGCAUUAUAGCCGCCUGUUUGUAAGUAUGUAGCAUUAGUACUUAACUGAACGUUAAGAAGUAUGUAACACCUCCAUCCUAAUUGUAGGGAAUCUGAUCUUACUCUUGGAAUUUUUCUUCAGUAUCUUUGUAAGUUAUCACAACACCAAUGUCAACAAAAUGACAUGUGUGCCCUGAAAUGCAGCAUUUCACAAUACCAAAUUCCAGUUAAUAGUACUAUGCUCAAGUCUGUACCAAAUUUGCUGAGACACCAGUUUCAUUAAACCUCAAUAUGCUUAGAAACAGCUUCACUUCUCUUCACAUACCAAAGCUGCAGAGGUUAGGAUGGAGCCAAAAUGGUCCUGGUGUUAUAAUAAAGCCCUAAGAAAGGCAGCAGUUCUUCUUGCUUAGCAGCUGCUCUGUGAAGCCAGCUUAGCUUACCAGCUGCUUUUGGUCUUCUGCAUUUUUAGGCCAGGGCAUGUACUAGAAGUUUACAGUUAGCACUGUUUAAUAAGUGGUUAACCAGUAACACUCCUGGCUUAAGUACUCAUUAAUGGCUCCAUUUUCACUCUUACUACGCUAAACUUUCAGUCAUCAGAAUGUUUUCAUGCUUUUUGUUCCUUGUUGUUAUAGGAAGAUGUUAGGUGGUCACCCUAGGGCAGAAGCAGCUAGAUGGGGGUACACCUAGCGCUAAUGGGGUAUAAAGAACACAAUCUUUAAAUGCCUUCUUAUAAAAUCAGUAACCUCUUCAGACAGAAGUUACAAUUCUGGAUCUUGAGCACUCAAAUUUCAUAGCUUUACAUUCUCCUAAACAGUUGAAGGGAUCAAUUUUGGCCAUUCAACACUUUAAUCUUUGUAUUACAUUGUUUAAGUCUCUCUGGCUAGAAGAGCUAGAGAAAAAUAAGCAGGCGUAUUAAUGAAGUAUGACUGUAAGUCUCCCAGCUUCUACAGAACAGUGAUGGAAUGUUAAUGUAUUACAGAAAUUAAAACAGUUUAUGUCACCAUGUAUAAGCUUGAGCCAAGACUACUUUUAGGUUCAAAACCAAAUCGUUUUAGAAUGAUUUCCAGUCUAUGGUGUAUUCAGUUCUGUAUCUAUAAGAGAUGCAUUGUUGAUGUCCAGACAGUGCUGUGCCACUCACCUUGAAAGAAAAGUUGUAUUAGUUCCAUAAGGUUUGGGAUUUGCACCAUUCAAACUGAUCGUUAAUUAAGGACAGAAUUUACAGGAUUAAUGUGACACUCUCCAACCCUAAACUUAUCUGACAAGUAAACUUUUACUCAAUGUGGAAACAAACAACAGCAAAGGACCGCAGUUUGUUUUACUCCUCAG
This is a long non-coding RNA of Gallus gallus (chicken), 1751 nucleotides long. The record is from Ensembl. NCBI's taxonomy places the organism in Eukaryota, Metazoa, Chordata, Aves, Galliformes, Phasianidae.